GCAACUCGAACGUGGAGGAAUCGCUUCGUGGCACUCUUUGCCCUGCCUACGCGACUGCGUCUUCUGCAGAAUCACCCUCAGAACCUUCUCUUGAUGCUCCAAACGUGACCUGCAAAACACACAGACGGCGCCUCUAGCGGCCGUUUGCACUCCGACGAUCAAGUUAGUCCACAGAACCACCAAAGAUGAGAAAACUAGCAGUGUGUGUGAAAAACUCUUGCUCUCUUUUU
Molecule: long non-coding RNA, 230 nt
Filed under: Phaseolus vulgaris (common bean)
Lineage: Eukaryota; Viridiplantae; Streptophyta; Magnoliopsida; Fabales; Fabaceae
Description: long non-coding RNA (PVUL_LNC003899)
Source: RNAcentral